Molecule: ribosomal RNA, 253 nt
Filed under: uncultured bacterium
Lineage: Bacteria
Description: partial 16S ribosomal RNA
Rfam family: Bacterial small subunit ribosomal RNA
Source: RNAcentral
UACGUAGGUGGCAAGCGUUGUCCGGAUUUAUUGGGUUUAAAGGGUGCGUAGGCGGCUUUGUAAGUCAGUGGUGAAAUAUGGCAGCUCAACUGUCAAGGUGCCAUUGAUACUGCAGAGCUUGAGUACAGAUGAGGUAGGCGGAAUUGACGGUGUAGCGGUGAAAUGCUUAGAUAUCGUCAAGAACACCUAUAGCGAAGGCAGCUUACUAGGCUGUAACUGACGCUGAGGCACGAAAGGGUGGGGAGCAAACAGG